CAAAAUCUGGGGCAAUGAAAGUGGGCAAUACUAUAGAUGCUCACAACAAAUUCAUAGAUGAUUCAUAAGAAUUUCCCCUACUACCUAAACGUCAAAUAUUGAAAAAGAAGCAUAUUCCUCCUCGCAUUUAUUUCUGUCUUAUUCUAUUUCAAUUUGUAUUUGUUUCUAUUUUAGAAUGUGUUUUAAUUUCAUAUUUUGUUCUCAUACCUCUAUUUCUGAUCAUCAGGUGGAGACAAUAUAAUGAGUUUGGAUCUGCCACACUCAUGGUUUAUGACAUUAUGAUGUAUUAUUGGUAUUUCAGCCUAGUGCCGGUUGCGCUAAAGCCAGUUAAAUUUUAAUCGUGAUUAAUCCCACGAGAACCAAUCAAAGAAGCCGUCGUUGAGGCCUUCUCUGAUUGGUUCUCAUGGAAUUAAUCACGGUUAAAAUUUAACCGGCUUUUGUGCAACUGGGCCUUAGUCUGUCUGUCCAAUUGCACACUUGGAAGCAGGUGCCAGCAUGAUUGUCUAUUCAAUUCAAAGUCAUAUAUAAUCAGGACUGAAAUUUUAAACAGGUGUGUCAGUUUGUAAUGCAUCAGAUGGAGCUUGGCAUACACAUACUGAUUCACUCCUGUCAUGGACCACAGCUUUCAAGUAUGGCACUUGACAGUGAGCAGAGUGAGAGAGAACGUAUCAGGAGCUGUAGAUCAUCACUGCUUGUCUCCGGAAUGAUUGAGCAAGCGAUGCGAGUUCUCACUCCCUGAUGCAGUCUCCAUGUGGAUUGAGAGUGAGCAGAGUGAGAGAGAACGAAUCAGGAGCUGUAGAUCAUCACUGCUUGUCUCCGGAAUGAUUGAGCGAGCGAAGCGAGUUCUCAAUCCCUGAUGCAGUCUCCAUUCAUUUGGAUUGAGAGUGAGCAGAGUGAGAGAGAGGACGAAUCAGGAGCUGUAGAUCAUCACUGCUUGUCUCCGGAAUGAUUGAGCGAGCGAUGCGAGUUCUCACUCCCUGUUGCAGUCUCCACCUAUUUGGAUUAUGAGGUGAGUGAACUUUACAAUUUUUGUAGAUAUCCCUUUUAGGGUGGCCACUCACGACAGGACAAGUGUGUUGAGCAUGUGUGUGCACACAUGCUCGUCAUCAAUAUGUGUCAAUGCUAUAGUGAGGUCCACGUUAUAAUGACAGUGGAGAAAGAUAGG
Molecule: long non-coding RNA, 1165 nt
Organism: Nilaparvata lugens (brown planthopper)
Lineage: Eukaryota; Metazoa; Arthropoda; Insecta; Hemiptera; Delphacidae
Exons: 5
Source: RefSeq, a predicted model, not a curated record